GCGUAGAAUACCCGCAAGGGUAUUAAGUUGCAUGCCAUAGACCCGAAGCCAAGUGAUCUAGCCAUCGGCAGGCUGAAGCCCGGGUGAAACCGGGUGGAGGGCCGAACCCUAGUCUGUUAAAAAAGGCAGGGAUGACCGGUGGCUCGGAGCGAAAGACUAAACAAACUUGGAAAUAGCUGGCUCUCCCCGAAAUGCCUUGAGGGACAGCCUCGUCAAAAGCUCGCGCAGGUAGAGCACUGGAUGGACUAGGGGGCCUCACCGCCUACCAAACCCAAUCAAACUCCGAAUGGCGCGAGACAACUGGCGGGAGUGAGACUGCGGGCGACAAGGUCCGUGGUCGAGAGGGAAACAGCCCUGACCGCCGGCUAAGGUCCCGGAUAGCAUGCUGAGUGUGAAAUGAUGUGCCCUGGCGAGGACAGCCAGGAGGUUGGCUUAGAAGCAGCCAUUCCUUGAAAGAGUGCGUAACAGCUCACUGGUCGAGUCACGGCGCGCAGACAAUGUAACGGGGCUAAGCAUGCAACCGAAGCCGCGGAAUCACAUAGCAAUAUGUGGUUGGUAGGGGAGCAUUCCGCAGACCGACGAAGGCGUAUUGGAAAGUACGCUGGAGGGAGCGGAAGGGAGAAUGCAGGUAUAAGUAGACGAAAAGAGGGGUGGGAUCCCCCUCCGCCGGAAGCCCAAGGUUUCCUGGGUAAAGGCAAUCUUCCCAGGGUAAGUCGGCCCCUAAGGCGAGGGCGAAAGCCGUAGUCGAUGGGAAACCGGUUCAUAUUCCGGUACCGUUCCUGAUUUCACGGGAUGACGCGUGAGGCGAAACCCGGCCGGGCGACGGUUGCCCCGGUCGAAGCGGCGAGCUGUUGGGCGCGGAGGAAACGCGUUCAGGCGAGCCGUGACAGCGAGCCGACCCACGGGAAGGCGAAGCGGGCGUAGCCAGGGCGCCGAGAAACAAUCCCCUCUGGACAGGUCAGGAAGACCGUACCGCAAACCGACACAGGUGGGCGGGAUGAGAAAUCUAAGGCGCACGAGAGAACUCGCGUUAAGGAACUCGGCAAAAUGCGCACGUAACUUCGGGAGAAGUGCGGCCGCUUUUGGUUUUAGCAAUAGGGUCAAAGGCGGCGUCACAAAGCAGUCCCAGGCGACUGUUUACCAAAAACACAGGCCUCCGCGAACCAGCAAUGGGAAGUAUGGGGGCUGACACCUGCCCGGUGCCGGAAGGUUAAGGGGAGCGGUUAAUCGCAAGAUGAAGCUGCGAACCGAAGCCCCGGUAAACGGCGGCCGUAACUAUAACGGUCCUAAGGUAGCGAAAUUCCUUGUCGGGUAAGUUCCGACCCGCACGAAAGGUGUAACGAUCUGGGAGCUGUCUCGACGCGAGACUCGGUGAAAUUUAAGUACCGGUCAAGAUGCCGGUUACCCGUGGUUAGACGGAAAGACCCCGUGAACCUUCACUGCAACUUACCGUGGGGGCUUGGCUAGGCAUGUGUAGGAUAGGUGGGAGGCACUGAGGCGUGGGCGUCAGCCUGCGCGGAGCCGACGGUGAAAUACCACCCUUUCCUGGCUAGGCUUCUAACCCGCGCCGUGAAACCGGGGCG
This 1583-nucleotide ribosomal RNA is filed under the name termite gut metagenome. RNAcentral describes it as "bacterial LSU rRNA". It matches the Rfam family "Bacterial large subunit ribosomal RNA", at positions 666 to 2247 of the family's 2925-position model. The record is from RNAcentral.